CGCUCCAAGGAGCGUUGCAGCGCCCCGACACGCGGGCGUCAGGCUUGGAUGUAUGCAACGACGCUCGCCCGUG
RNAcentral lists this non-coding RNA (73 nucleotides) under Caldimonas brevitalea. RNAcentral's name for it is "Polyangium brachysporum SAH sequence". It matches the Rfam family "SAH (S-adenosyl-L-homocysteine) riboswitch aptamer". Lineage: Bacteria; Pseudomonadati; Pseudomonadota; Betaproteobacteria; Burkholderiales; Sphaerotilaceae. The record is from Rfam by way of RNAcentral.